UGAUAAUAUCAUGCUGAAAAACCGGUUCCCGUAGGAGCACCGAAGUUAAGCAAUGUCGAGUCUGGUUAGUAACUAGUUGGGUGACCGCUUGGGAAUACCAUGUGUU
Molecule: non-coding RNA, 106 nt
Organism: Acanthosepion pharaonis
Lineage: Eukaryota; Metazoa; Mollusca; Cephalopoda; Sepiida; Sepiidae
Source: the annotation of a GenBank genome assembly